RNAcentral lists this long non-coding RNA (4171 nucleotides) under Amborella trichopoda. RNAcentral's name for it is "long non-coding RNA (ATRI_LNC000503)". Lineage: Eukaryota; Viridiplantae; Streptophyta; Magnoliopsida; Amborellales; Amborellaceae. The record is from RNAcentral.
UUAGCUUCAGUUCCCACACCUUUAACUAAAGUCUCUAUGAUGAUUUGUCGAAUCAUUUAUUAAAAAAUAUGUGAAGUGUUGAAGUCAUUAAUUGACAUAUAAAAUGUGUUUUGUGUGGGGUAAUUUUAGUAUCUGAGAAGGACCUCAUCAUUUCAGAAAGUGUGGUAUCCCCCACAUGGUCAAAGGAUGACAACAUGGGGGAUACUGUAGAGCCCAUGGAGCAAGAUCCUUUCCUUGCAACCCCGCCCCCCAAUAAGUUCACAAAUCUUGGAAACAGGGAAUAUGCGUGGUCGUCCAAGGGCUCAGAAAUAGAGGAACCCUAUAUAUGAAUGAAAUUCGGUGCUGAAAAUGAUGCAUUUGAGUUUUACAAGGCUUUUGCAUUGGUGCAUGGGUUUGGUGUUAGAAAGGGAACUACUCACAACAAUAAGGAUGGAAAGAGAACUAUUAGGGAAUUUAUAUAUUUCAAGGAAGGAUUCCGUAUAGUGAAAGAAGUGUUACCUACAAAAACAUCCCUUAGUCAAGGUUGGAUGUGCAGCGAAGAUGUACGUACGAAUAAAUGCCAACAAUGAGUGGGUUGUCACAUGGUUUGUUAAGGAUCACAAUCACGACCUUUUAUCUCCAAGGAAUGCCCGACUCAUCCAAUUGCACCGAACAAUGUCGGAUGCGACAAAGACAAUGAUAAACUUUAUGAGCUCUGCUUUGGUAAAGUCACGGAAUAUCUAUAAUAUCUUUUUAAAGCAAGUUGGAGGGAUUGUUAAUAUCCCUUGCUCACAAAAAGACAUCGAAAACCAAUUAGGAAACAAGAGAAGAAAAAUCAAAAGGGAAGAUGGGAACCGUCCGAUGGAAUGGUUAAUCGAUAUGAAAAGGUCGAAUCCAUCUUUUUUCUAUAAGGUGAAAUUAGAUGAAGAAAAUCAUAUUGUCAGCCUAUUAUGGGUAGAUGACAUGUUAAGGGUGUUCUACAAUCAGUUCUCAUAUGUGGUCACUUUUGAUACCACAUAUAAGACAAACUCUUUUGACAUGCCCUUUGCUCUCAUACUUGAAGUGAAUCACCACCUUAGCACAAUAUUUUUUGGAUUUGCACUUAUAUUUGAUGAGAAUGUGGAGUCUUUUGUAUGGAUAUUUGAAAAUUGGCUAGAGGCAUUCGGUGGACGCCAACCGGGAGUAAUUAUCACUGAUCAGGAUCCUACAAUGACCGCUGCAGUGGGACAAGUUUUCAAUAAAAGCAAAUAUCAUUAUUGUAAGUGGCACAUUCUUUCAAAGAAAAUUUGUGUCAUGUCUUACGAAGGAGUCCAUCUUUUCCAGACCACUUCAGGAAUUGUAUAAUGAGCGAAACUAAGGAAGAAUUUGGGUCAGAAUGGAAAUCUCUAAUCGAGAAAUAUGAUCUUCAACAGAAUGAAUGGCUCAAUAGAUUGUACCAAUGUCGAAAGAAAUGGAUUGAUGCAUACGUGGCAGAUCCAUUCAUAAUCGGUAUGUCAUCGACUCAAAGAAGAGAAGAAAUGAAUGAGCACUUCAAAAAUUAUGUGACUUCCAAUACAAGCUUGUGCACAUUGUUGGAAACUACUCUAAAAGUGCAUGGUAAAAAACUUCUUAAGAUGAGAGAAAAUGACUUAAAUAGCAUCACAUCUACGCCUAUUUUGAGGACCACGUGUGACAUCGAGGCUCACGCUUUGAAGAUAUAUACACUCAAAGUUAUGACGUUGUUUGGGGAAGAAGUUGCACAAGACGUCAAUUACAUGAGUGAAAUUAUUGAAGAGAAUGACACAGUUGCAAUCUUCAAGGUAUCAAAACGUGGAACUGAAACAGGGCCUGCACUGUAGAGUUCAAUAGUAACGACAAAACUUUUUCUUGUACUUGCCACAUGUAUGAGAGGUUAGGCAUUAUUUGUAGGCAUAGGAUUAUGGUGUUCAUGGUGAGAAAUAUUUUUGAAAUCCCAUUGCAUUACAUAAUGAAGAGGUGGACGAAAAAUGUGAUGCAAGGUGUUGUAGUUGAUACCAACGGGAAACAAAUUCACAAAUUCAAGGUACUUUUGAUCUACCGCGUUCCAUUUGUUUUAAUGAGGUUUGUCAAGCCACUAGAGUGCUAGCAGAGCAUGCUUCAGAAAGUGUAGAACUUCAUACAUUUAUAAUGUCUGAAAUAGCAAGUACAGUUGCAAUGGUUGAGGCCAAGAUUGUGGGUGUGGUAUUGCCAUGUGGUGCUAUUAAGACCCCUUGCAACAGUCGUACAGAGAAUAUGAAUGCCGACAGUAGCAACCGCGCUGAGGUUAAGGGACAUGCACGCUAUAAUAUCCUUGAGCCCCCUCGGCACGAACAAAGGGGAGACCUACCAAUGAUAGAUAUGUACCUCGGGUUGAGAUAGAGACAGAGAAAGCAAACGCGAAAGCAAAAGAGAAGUCACCCGAAAGUGCGCAGUUUGCAAUGGGAGUGGACAUGACAGAAUGAAUUGUCUAGCUCUCGCACGUUCAAAGUAUGAAUGAACUAUUCCUCCGUUUUCCAUACUCUUUGUGAUGGUAAUAUGAAUUCCUUAAUUAUAAAUAUUUGAAAUGGAUUUUCUUCGUUUAGGUUAAAUGUCAAUAUAAGAUGCACGGAUGGGUCAUGUGAGAAUGUGGAAUACGAUGAGUAAUGGUAAGAAUUUUUAGAGUUUUGCAUUUUAAUCAAUAAACAAGUAUUUGUUUGCAUUGUAAGAAAUUUUAUUGCAUUCAAAUUUUCAUGCUUGUUUGGUUGCGUCUCUCUCUCUCCUUCUCUCUCUCUCUCCUUCUCUCUCUCUCUCUCUCUGAUUCAAACUCAACCAGUUCUCAUGUUUUAUAGCUUUCAUAGUAUCAUAUUCUUUGAGUGUGACUGUCAUAUGUCAUUUACAUCUGCUGGUGUUAUGAUGUUUGAUGUACUUGUUAAUGAACUUGCCUCUGGAACAGCUUCCUAGGAGGCAUUCAAGACCCAACAGAACUUGAGAAGGGCAUCAACAUGAUACCUAGACUCGUCAAGAAUGGUUUGUGUGCAUCAGAGAGAGAGAGAGAGGGAGAGAGAGACUUCAUUCUUGGCCUUUGAUUUUAAUGUCUGUAAUUCUUGUUCACAAUGGGGAUCUUUUAUCGUUUGGCAAUUGUCGCUGGUGUGGCAACAUUGCUGCUGAUCGUCAUUCAAGAUGGAGUUGAUGCCACUGUCAUGGACUUAACUGAGUUUAGGAAAGUUUUGGACAGUCAGAUGCAUGGAAAUUCACCUGUCCAAUUUGUUCUUUCUUUUGAUUGGUGAAGGAGGUAUGCAGAUUUGUAACUUAUGGUGCAGGACUCAGCAGCCUAAACAAUUAGAUACUAAGAAGCUACAACCCAGAAACAAUAGGUUUAUGGAAAAGAAUUUCUCAUUUAUUAUCUUCUUCUAUGGAUUUUUAAUAAUGGUUGGAUUCUUCUUUGGAGUUAAACUUAGAAAGUGUAAAUUUUAUUUUCUUAUGUAAAUUUUAUUUUGGUGAUAUUUUAUCCUUAGCUAGCUUCCAUAUGCGAUAGUAAUUUGAUCUAGCCGAUCAUCAUGUUGACUCCCUUUCGCACAUUCAAAGUAAGUGGUAAAUUCAUGUAAAUUCAAAGUAAGUGAAAAAUUCAUGGAUACGUGAAUGGGUAUUAUAGAUGCACUUCAUUUUUCACUAUCCCAAAUUUAAUACAUUUAAACCCCCUUCAAGUUAAUUUUGGUUCUAUACGUUUUUUAGGAUUUGGGAUGUGUUGCUUGAGGUAAAUGAUAUACAAGUGGAACGAGAGAGAGAGAUUUGGAUUCCAAAAAAGUGUCUUUUGAUUGGUUUCGUGGCUAGAGAUAAAGAGGUAAAAUAAGCUUCUUUCGGUUUUCAAUGGUUUUGGUGAUCAAUCGGUAUUUAAUUUUUUUUUUCAAAAAAAGUGUAUAUAAAUGAGAAACUCAGAAAUGCUCAUUAAUUACCCUUAUAAGUUCAUUCAUAGUAUAAGAAAUUCAGAAAUGCCCAUUAAGCAUGAAUACAAAGAGUCCAAUACAAUAGGUUAUAAUCGAAAUGUUGUUACUUGUUUGUGUUGUGUAUCCUCCCUAUUGAAACAAACAUCUUCCAACUUAUUCGGAUGAAACAAACAUAUGUCAAAAACAUUAAGCUACCAAAUCCCGAUGGUUCACACAAAGGCUGCAUUUGGACUCAUCACUCUCACUCUCACACACACACACUCUUUCUCUCU